This 499-nucleotide ribosomal RNA is filed under the name Cepphus grylle. RNAcentral describes it as "partial small subunit ribosomal RNA". It matches the Rfam family "Bacterial small subunit ribosomal RNA", at positions 521 to 1246 of the family's 1533-position model. Lineage: Eukaryota; Metazoa; Chordata; Aves; Charadriiformes; Alcidae. The record is from RNAcentral.
UCACACAAGAGACCCAAAUUAACCGUAUACGGCGUAAAGAGUGGUACAAUGCUAUCAUAGCAACUAGGAUUAAAAUGCAGCUAGGCUGUCAUAAGCUCAAGAUGCACCUAAGAUCACCUCUAAGAUGAUCCUAGCAUUUCUGAUUAAUUUAACCCCACGAAAGCUAGGGCACAAACUGGGAUUAGAUACCCCAUUAUGCCUAGCCCUAAAUCUUGAUGCUUACCUUACUAAAGCAUCCGCCUGGGAACUACGAGCACAAACGCUUAAAACUCUAAGGACUUGGCGGUGCUCUAAACCCACCUAGAGGAGCCUGUUCUAUAAUCGAUAACCCACGAUUCACCCAACCACCUCUUGCUAGAGCAGCCUACAUACCGCCGUCGCCAGCCCACCUCCUCUGAGAGUCCCACAGUGAGCACAAUAGCCUAAAACCGUUAGCAAGACAGGUCAAGGUAUAGCCUAUGGGGUGGAAGAAAUGGGCUACAUUUUCUACGAUAGAAAA